This 406-nucleotide ribosomal RNA is filed under the name uncultured bacterium. RNAcentral describes it as "partial 16S ribosomal RNA". It matches the Rfam family "Bacterial small subunit ribosomal RNA", at positions 30 to 526 of the family's 1533-position model. The record is from RNAcentral.
AUCGAACGCUGGCGGCAGGCCUAACACAUGCAAGUCGAACGAGUGGCGGACGGGUGUGUAACGUCUGGGAAACUGCCCGAGGGAGGGGGAUAACUACUGGAAAGGGUGGCUAUUACCGCAUACCAGCGGCUGUGCCCAGAUGGGAUUAGCUAGUAGGUGGGGUAACGGCUCACCUAGGCGACGAUCCCUAGCUGGUAUGAGAGGAUGACGAGCCCCACUGGAACUGAGACACGGUCCAGACUCCUACGGGAGGCAGCAGUGGGGAAUAUUGCACAAUGGGCGCAAGCCUGAGGCAGCCAUGCCGCUUGUAUGAAGAAGGCCUUCGUGUUGUAAAGUACUUUCAGCGAGGAGGCGUUACUCGCAGAAGAAGCACCGGCUAACUCCGUGCCAGCAGCCGCGGUAAUUC